This 394-nucleotide ribosomal RNA is filed under the name uncultured bacterium. RNAcentral's name for it is "bacterial SSU rRNA". It matches the Rfam family "Bacterial small subunit ribosomal RNA", at positions 30 to 424 of the family's 1533-position model. The record is from RNAcentral.
AUUGAACGCUGGCGGCAUGCCUUACACAUGCAAGUCGAACGGCAGCACGGGAGCAAUCCUGGUGGCGAGUGGCGAACGGGUGAGUAAUAUAUCGGAACGUGCCCAGUCGUGGGGAUAACGUAGCGAAAGCUACGCUAAUACCGCAUACGAUCUAUGGAUGAAAGCGGGGGGAUCGCAAGACCUCGCGCGAUUGGAGCGGCCGAUAUCAGAUUAGGUAGUUGGUGAGGUAAAGGCUCACCAAGCCGACGAUCUGUAGCUGGUCUGAGAGGACGACCAGCCACACUGGGACUGAGACAGGCCCAGACUCCUACGGGAGGCAGCAGUGGGGAAUUUUGGGACAAUGGGCGCAAGCCUGAUCCAGCAAUNCCGCGUGCAGGAUGAAGGCCUUCGGGUU